CUCUCUCGCUUCAGUAUCUUGGAUUCUUUUCUUGGUCGCUCUCUCGAACUCAUCAGUCAUGGAGGCAUCAUUGAGGAUCUUUAACUCAUCCACUCUCAAUCGCCACUUCUCUCAUUCGUUUCUCUUCAGACAUUCUCUGAGAUUCCCUCCAAGCACUUCUUCGUCACUAUCAAACCUUUCACGCAAUACUAAUGGACAUCUACCUGCAAUCACCUUCCUUCCGAACAAUAUCGACAAUAUCAGAAAUCGCUCUGUAUCGUUACGCAUUCGAUCUUCUUCAUCCACCGGCUUUCCGUCUUCGUUCCCUUCUCCUAAUUUGAAAUCGCUAGGGUUUUUCCUUUCUCUAGCUUCAUCUCAGUUUUCUAAUACUCGUGCUUCUGAUGAAUGUUCCGAUCGAGUCGUAUCUGAUCCAACGAAAAACGUUUUCGCUUGGAAUCGAGCUCCUGAAGAAGUUACCAGCGCCGAUUUUGGCUUUGUCCGAGACCGAGGGCCUGUUUUCACGGUGGUGUUGUUAGGCUGGCUUGGAGCUGAGCAGAAGCAUUUGAAGAGAUAUGUGGAGCUGUAUAAUUCCAGAGGCAUCCAUGCGUUGACAUUUGUCGUUCCGGUGCGAGAGGUGCUAGGAUUUGAUUUGGGGAGGAGAGUUGAACAGCGGAUCUCGGCGUUGGCGCAGGAGAUCAUUUCUUGGUUGUCGGAGCGCGUAGAAGAUGGAAGGGAGCGGUGCUUGCUUUUCCACACUUUCAGCAAUACCGGUUGGCUGGCCUAUGGUGCCAUACUCAAGAAGUUGCAGUGUAGGGGUCACCUAAUUGAGAAGAUUAAAGGAUGCGUGGUUGAUUCUGGUGGGGACCCAGAAAUAAACCCUCAGGUAUGGGCAGCAGGAUUUUCUGCUGCAAUACUGAAGAAGCGCAGCUCUUCAACAUCUCCUUCAGUUAAUGAUAUAGGACAAGAAUCAGAAAGUGAUAAGAGUGUAGCCAAGAUGCCAGAAAAGGAGCCCCCAUUUCUUGAGAUGGCCCUCCUUUCGGUCUUGGUGAAGUUCUUCUCUGUUAUUCUGAAGUUGCCAGAUGUAAAUCGGAGGCUUACUGAGAUCAUUUCCAUCCUCUCGAAGAACCAGCCUCCCUGUCCUCAGCUGUACCUGUACAGUACAGCUGAUAAGGUCAUUCCAUUUCAGCCUGUUGAGUCAUUUAUCCAGAGCCAGAGGAUGCUGGGAAGAAAUGUUUGGUCCUAUAAUUUUUGCUCGUCUCCUCAUGUGGACCAUUACCGGAACUUCCCUCAUAUAUACUCAGAAGUGCUUCAUAAAUUCUUGAAAGAGUGUGUUGCCGUGGUGUGCCAGACAUGAAAUUUUAUAUCGGAGUUGUGUGAAGCAGUUUGGAGGAACUGCUGGCAGUUCCUUGAAUUUGCUAAAACAACAUCAACGAGGUCUUGACAGGGCAAUUAUCUCUAGGGAAAAUGUCUAAUCUUGAGAACAUAUGGGAAAGAAACCAAUCUACUUAGUGCUUGCACUAAAACAUUAUGCACUGUUUUUGUGCCUGAGGCAUAUCCACAAUGCCGCCUCUAUGACACCUGAAGAGAAGAUGACAGGCUAUCUGAUGGAAGCUCAAUGCACCAUACCAAAUAUCUGAUGGACUUUUUAGACUUGUGGUGGUAAAGGCUACACAGUUGGACUGUGGGUUGGGAAUUCCUUCACAUCUUGUUAAUCUCAACACCCAGCGACAAGGGGAGCUUAACAGGUGAAAUGUCAAUCGAAAAGAAGUGGACCAAGAGAGGCUUAAUUUGAGUUUAUACUUUCUUUGUUAAUGUUUGUAAUUAUGACCAUUAUUUGGUAGCCUUUCAGUGGAAAAAUUUCUCCCUCAAAAAUGAAACUGUCCCCUUGAUUCUUGAAAGCCAAUGCAGUGCCUUACCAUUGGGAUAUUGGAUUUGAUGCUGAAAGCAAUGUAAUUUGUUGAGAAAGAGAAGGAAAACUGCUAAAACCU
This is an RNA transcript of Telopea speciosissima, 1967 nucleotides long. It is a transcript of the gene named transmembrane protein 53-B, with no coding region annotated. The record is from RefSeq and is a predicted model, not a curated record. NCBI's taxonomy places the organism in Eukaryota, Viridiplantae, Streptophyta, Magnoliopsida, Proteales, Proteaceae. The transcript is spliced from 5 exons.